RNAcentral lists this ribosomal RNA (465 nucleotides) under uncultured bacterium. RNAcentral's name for it is "partial 16S ribosomal RNA". It matches the Rfam family "Bacterial small subunit ribosomal RNA", at positions 338 to 795 of the family's 1533-position model. The record is from RNAcentral.
CCUACGGGAGGCAGCAGUGGGGAAUAUUGCGCAAUGGGCGAAAGCCUGACGCAGCGACGCCGCGUGAGGGAUGAAGGUCUUCGGAUCGUAAACCUCUGUCAGCAGGGAAGAACGGUCACUGUACUAAUCAGCAGUGAAUUGACGGUACCUGCACAGGAAGCACCGGCUAACUCCGUGCCAGCAGCCGCGGUAAUACGGAGGGUGCGAGCGUUAAUCGGAAUUACUGGGCGUAAAGCGCUCGUAGGCGGUAUGUCAAGUCAAGGGGGAAAUCCCCGCGCUCAACGUGGGAACUGACUUUGAAACUGGCAAACUAGAGUGAGUGAGAGGAGAGUGGAAUUCCAGGUGUAGCAGUGAAAUGCGUAGAUAUAUGGAAGAACAUCAGUGGCGAAGGCGACUUUCUGGCACAUAACUGACGCUGAGGGGCGAAAGCGUGGGGAGCAAACAGGAUUAGAUACCCGAGUAGUC